This 487-nucleotide ribosomal RNA is filed under the name uncultured bacterium. Its description in RNAcentral is "partial 16S ribosomal RNA". It matches the Rfam family "Bacterial small subunit ribosomal RNA", at positions 28 to 507 of the family's 1533-position model. The record is from RNAcentral.
GAUGAACGCUAGCGAUAGGCUUAACACAUGCAAGUCGAGGGGCAGCACAAGGUAGCUUGCUAUCUGGGUGGCGACCGGCGCACGGGUGCGUAACGCGUAUGCAACUUGCCCUAUACAGGAGGAUAACCCGUCGAAAGACGGACUAAUACUGCGUAUGCUCACAACUUGGCAUCAAGUGGUGAGGAAAGAAAUUCGGUAUAGGAUAGGCAUGCGUCCCAUUAGCUUGUUGGUGAGGUAACGGCUCACCAAGGCAACGAUGGGUAGGGGAACUGAGAGGUUUAUCCCCCACACUGGUACUGAGACACGGACCAGACUCCUACGGGAGGCAGCAGUGAGGAAUAUUGAUCAAUGGGCGCGAGCCUGAACCAGCCAAGUCGCGUGAAGGAUGACUGUCUUAUGGAUUGUAAACUUCUUUUAUACGGGAAUAACAAGAGUCACGUGUGACUCCCUGCAUGUACCGGAUGAAUAAGCAUCGGCUAACUCCGUG